This 1230-nucleotide ribosomal RNA is filed under the name Triticum aestivum (bread wheat). RNAcentral's name for it is "partial small subunit ribosomal RNA". Lineage: Eukaryota; Viridiplantae; Streptophyta; Magnoliopsida; Poales; Poaceae. The record is from RNAcentral.
AUGGCAACUUCGCCGACCGAUCUGGGAAACACGGUGGCGUUGCCGUGCCCCUCCCUCCCCGACGAUGUCAUCAUGGACAUUUUUGCACGGCUGCCGGCCAAGUUUGUGGGCCGGUGCCGCUAUCUCUCCCGCGCCUGGGCCGCCACGCUCUCCUCGGACGACUUCGCCGAUCGCCACCAUCACCUCGCCAACCACCGCCACAGCCCUAGGGUUUUCUUCUUGCAUCACUCGUCCCGCGACGGACCGUUGAUGCACGUCUGGUCGCCGCAGGACAGCCCAAACGGUGCACCAUCGACCUUGUAUGUUCCAAAGGCUGCCAACGCCGAAAGGGCUUUACGCAUCGCCACACUUGUGUGUCGUGGCCUUGCCAUCUUUCAAACACCCUGUACAGAAAUCAACUAUCUGUGCAACCCGUCAAGUGGUCAGAUGGCGGCACUCCCAGAGCAUGAGAAGAUGUUCUGGUACCAGGAUGAUGUUUUGGGUCGACAUUAUACGAGUCUAGGGCUCGGCUACGAUGCACAUACAAAGAAACAUAAAGUUGUGUGUGUCUACUAUGGGGGGCCCAGAUGUGAUAGCGAGGGAUUCCCAAGGUUCGCAGGAUGUGAUCUCUAUGUUGUCAAUUCAAAUGGCCGCUGGCGGCUGAUUCAAGGGAAGCCGCCCGCUUGGGUAAGACCUAACAUGGCGAGCAUCUUUGCACAAGGACAGGUGUAUUGGUUAGCCGAUCGGAAAAUCAACAUCAAACCUGCUGAGAUGGUCAUUGUAUCAUUCUCUCUCGCUAAUCAUACAUUCGGGACUCUGCCACCACCACUUGGUAUGGACAAGGAUAUACGUAGUUUGCCCAAACACCAUUUGACGAAGCUCAAUGAGCACUUAUGCUUCGUUUCCCAUAAUGUUUCGAACUCAUUUUACGACAUCUGGCUGCUACCCGAACAUGAAGAACGCGUCUGGAAUUUGCAUUGUAGACUAGACAUGAGCAAGGUGUCACCAGAUAUGACCAACCGGUUCGUGAAAUGGCCCAACCCACUCGUCACCAUCGACAAUGGUAGUCGCAUCCUCCUCGUACGACCCCGCUCGUUGGCCCACGAGAACAACUACUCCCGGAUGUGUGCAUACGACCCAAUGACGGGUGAUGUUGAUGACAUGUUCAAUGGAAGCGACAUGGUCUAUGACUCCAUCACAAGCACGACGGACGCUGCAGUGUACGAGGAAAGCAUCGUCUCCCCUAGGUGA